This 92-nucleotide ribosomal RNA is filed under the name Ophion sp. MS13119. RNAcentral describes it as "partial 5.8S ribosomal RNA". It matches the Rfam family "5.8S ribosomal RNA", at positions 64 to 154 of the family's 154-position model. From Rfam's summary of the family: 5.8S ribosomal RNA (5.8S rRNA) is a component of the large subunit of the eukaryotic ribosome. It is transcribed by RNA polymerase I as part of the 45S precursor that also contains 18S and 28S rRNA. Functionally, it is thought that 5.8S rRNA may be involved in ribosome translocation. RNAcentral also lists the same sequence under 2 other names. The record is from RNAcentral. Lineage: Eukaryota; Metazoa; Arthropoda; Insecta; Hymenoptera; Ichneumonidae.
CUUGUGAACUGCAGGACACAUGAACAUCGACAUUUCGAACGCACAUUGCGGUCCACGGAUACAAUUCCCGGACCACGCCUGGCUGAGGGUCG